RNAcentral lists this long non-coding RNA (428 nucleotides) under Helianthus annuus (common sunflower). RNAcentral describes it as "sRNA HanXRQr2_Chr13g0608771". The record is from RNAcentral. Lineage: Eukaryota; Viridiplantae; Streptophyta; Magnoliopsida; Asterales; Asteraceae.
UUCCUUCUAUUUUUCUCUCUAUACGUUGGUGUUCUAACCAAUAAUCACCAAUACGAUAUUAUGUCCGAUCGAUUCGGAAACCAACGGACGAAUGCUAAAGUGCUGUCUAAAUAAGACUAUACUUUGUGAAUUUCGUUAAGGUUCUGAUCUCGUGACCGUCGUUAGGUUUGAUAUGGUUUUACACUAAUACGUAUUCCACUCUGUUAAACUAAAUGUUUAACUAUUAGAAAACACCAAACCAUACACUUACUAUCAAACAAGAUGAUUAAUCAUCAGAAGAUUCAGAACUAUAAAAUAGGUGCUUGAAAUCAAGAUGCUUGUUUAAUCAAGACUAUAUGCUACUAAGGUGAUUACAGUAGAUCGGAAUAAAAGUUGGAUACGACACCAAAAGGCAUAAAGAAGUGGCUUAUUUUUAAAUUGAAUUAAGA